This 72-nucleotide transfer RNA is filed under the name Ferruginibacter sp. Its description in RNAcentral is "tRNA-Ile". It matches the Rfam family "tRNA". From Rfam's summary of the family: Transfer RNA (tRNA) molecules are approximately 80 nucleotides in length. Their secondary structure includes four short double-helical elements and three loops (D, anti-codon, and T loops). The record is from RNAcentral. Lineage: Bacteria; Pseudomonadati; Bacteroidota; Chitinophagia; Chitinophagales; Chitinophagaceae.
GAUGAUGUAGCUCAAUGGUAGAGUUUUACGCUGAUACCGUAAAGGUUAAAUGUUGAAAUCGUUUCAUCAUCA